CACACACUUGUCCUACGGCUGAUAGACUCCUUCAUUUGUGCAUCCCACACACGAUGAACGGUAAGACGGCCACGACCCUCCAGGAGCUACGGUCCAGGUGGACAGACAGUCAUGUGAGCUCGUGAUUACAGCAGAAGACAUUUGAUGGCGUGUUCAUACUCAGGAGGCUCAGCAUUCAGUUCUGAUUCCAAGACAUCCCAGAAGGCCUGAUGGACAAUGUGCCUCACUCGACCGGCCAAGCUAUGGGAAUGAAAUGAAUCACUUUUUUUUACAUAAGCACUAUUUUUCCUAAUUAUAAAAGAAAUAUGCACAUUGUAGAAAUCUUAGGAAAUGCAGAAAAACAGAAUAAAAACUGCUCAAUCUUUUGACAUA
Long non-coding RNA from Bubalus bubalis (water buffalo), 372 nucleotides. RefSeq lists it as uncharacterized. The record is from RefSeq and is a predicted model, not a curated record. The transcript has 2 exons. Lineage: Eukaryota; Metazoa; Chordata; Mammalia; Artiodactyla; Bovidae.